Molecule: unclassified non-coding RNA, 353 nt
Filed under: soil metagenome
Description: partial contains 5.8S ribosomal RNA, internal transcribed spacer 2, and large subunit ribosomal RNA
Rfam family: 5.8S ribosomal RNA (bases 1-120)
Source: RNAcentral
GAUGAAGAACGUAGCGAAAUGCGAUAAGUAAUGUGAAUUGCAGAAUUCAGUGAAUCAUCGAAUCUUUGAACGCACAUUGCGCCCAUUAGUAUUCUAGUGGGCAUGCCUGUUCGAGCGUCAUUAAGUCCACUUAAGCCUAGCUUAGUGUUGGGAGACUGCUCCAGUGGUGCUACCCUGUAGCUACCCUGCAGCUCCUUAAAGACAGCGGCGGAGUCGUGUUAUCCUCUGAGCUUAGUAAAUCAUUCUAGCUUUCGAGAGUAUCACUUCACCUGCCGUUAAACCACCUAAUUUUUAUGGUUGACCUCGGAUCAGGUAGGAAUACCCGCUGAACUUAAGCAUAUCAAUAAGCGGAA